Molecule: transfer RNA, 88 nt
Filed under: Asanoa ferruginea
Lineage: Bacteria; Bacillati; Actinomycetota; Actinomycetes; Micromonosporales; Micromonosporaceae
Description: tRNA-Phe
Source: RNAcentral
CUACCCGGCGCCGGGUGGGCUGGCCGGGGUGAAGAACCGGCUGGUCGCCGGCGGCCGGCACCGCACGUUCCAGGCGCUCCGGAUGGGC